GGCGCUCCGCUCGCCGACAUCCGGUCGGAAACAGCGAAGGUUCAAACGCGGACAGCCAUUCCUCCGAGGACGACCGGUCACUCACCAGUGCUUACACUAGCUCAACCACGGAGGACAGCGAGAUCGACCGGCCGCCUAGGAGGAAACGAGCACACGCCCGUUCAUCGAGCCGCCGCCACCGCCGCCGGGCUCGCAGCACGGACAGUCACCGGCGGCGCACUCACACGCCGACACCAGCCAUAGACAUGCUGGACAUGAGCCGAGUCCCGGUCAAGUCCAAGCAGCCGCCGCCACCGCGCGCGCUGAAGCUGCCGACCAUCAGCGCUGCCGCCAUGCAGGCACUCGCCAACCGUGCCACGAUGGUGUCUGUAGACGAGGUAGUGUUCCCGCACGCGCCACCCGUGGACGGUGCGCGGGGACAGCCGCGGUACCCACCACUGAGUCCAGCAGCAUACCUCCGCGGCGUCACCGCCAUCGCCACGUACCGAGCCUACUUUUUCCCAGGUGCUGCCAUCCAAUGGCUCAGCUACGUACUGUGGCUGCAAGGUCAGGCCGGUGACCUCCCUACUAGCGCCCUACGCGACAUAGAUGUCAAGGCGAGGACGCACAUCGCCCGGUACCAUAUGGAGUACCAGGACCCAGCCUCGCUGACGGAAGCCAUCGGACAAGCGCUCGCGGCACCAGCAGUGUACGCCCCCGCGCCAGCCCCGGUACAGGCACAGCCGUAUGCCACCCAGCAGCAGCGGCAGGGAAACGAAAUAUGCCUCCGGUUCAACUACCACGCACGAUCAUGCCCACCCGGAGGCGCAUGCGGGCGCCGACACGUCUGCCACCGCUGCCAAGGGCCGCACACCGCCAGAAGCUGCCCGACGCAAAGCGCGCGCCCCCUGGCGCCGGCACGCCCUCCGCAGCCGACCGGAGCACGGCCCCCCCGCCCACUGUGGCGGUAGAUCCCACGCAUGUAGCAGAUACGGAAAGGAAGCAAGAACCGACAAAGGGACGAGAUAGAAGUCGAGACCGUGAUACGCCAAAACGCGAAAGCAGGUUAGAAGGGAAGUUCAAUCCGUAAGUAAACCAUCUUCUGACACCCGGAACGGCAAAGGUGAGCGCUAAUGGCACCGUGCUGUGCAACGCGAUGCAGCACGGAACAUUAGCGCCGGACGGACGGGUGUCUACCGGCCGGCCCACGCACACCGACGGGCGGGUGCCUACUGGCCCCGCGCGGAGAGUGUCCGUACACGGGAGCAUAGAUGGCGCGUCGAGCGGCCAGAGUUUAUUAUAUAUCUAGGGAGCGCAGCCUGAAAACAAGUUCUAUGGGAAAAUUGCUUUAUUAUUUAAUACUUAUCGAAUAUUUAGCCAGUCUUGUACACUGCCCUACCACCACGAAAUCAAUAUUAACUAAUUAUUAUGCGCUUUGUUAUUUCGCGGAACGGCAACGCCGCAACAGCCUGUUGUUUGAACAUCCGCCCGACAACGGCACGCCAGAGCAAUUUCCCACCCACCCACUGCCCAAUACCACCUGUCCUACGUCCUUCCAGUCUCCUUCUAUCUGCCCUUCGGGUCGGUCUUUCAGCAUGUAGCAGAUACGGAAAGGAAGCAAGAACCGACAAAGGGACGAGAUAGAAGUCGAGACCGUGAUACGCCAAAACGCGAAAGCAGGUUAGAAGGGAAGUUCAAUCCGUAAGUAAACCAUCUUCUGACACCCGGAACGGCAAAGGUGAGCG
RNAcentral lists this unclassified non-coding RNA (1724 nucleotides) under Amphibalanus amphitrite. RNAcentral describes it as "uncharacterized LOC122371612, transcript variant X3". Lineage: Eukaryota; Metazoa; Arthropoda; Thecostraca; Balanomorpha; Balanidae. The record is from RNAcentral.